RNAcentral lists this long non-coding RNA (206 nucleotides) under Rosa chinensis. RNAcentral describes it as "sRNA RchiOBHm_Chr4g0397351". Lineage: Eukaryota; Viridiplantae; Streptophyta; Magnoliopsida; Rosales; Rosaceae. The record is from RNAcentral.
GAUGUAGUUAUGUGGACCCAUCGGAAAGAAGCAUCUGUGCCCAUGAUGGGGAAGUUGUUGGAAUUGCUUGUGAUUCAACUAAUACUCACAUGAGAAGUGCUGGAUAUCAUGGAGACAUAAAGGUCUGGGAUUUCAAGAAAACGUGGAGUGCCAUCUAGAAUUCUGGAUGGGAAGUUGGGAGCUCUGUUGUCAGGAUUGUAUUCAAU